GGGCGAUUAGCUCAGUUGGUAGAGCAGUCGCUUUACACGCGAAAGGUCGGGGGUUCAAAUCCCUCAUCGCCCA
RNAcentral lists this transfer RNA (73 nucleotides) under Candidatus Kaiserbacteria bacterium CG10_big_fil_rev_8_21_14_0_10_44_10. RNAcentral describes it as "tRNA-Val". It matches the Rfam family "tRNA". From Rfam's summary of the family: Transfer RNA (tRNA) molecules are approximately 80 nucleotides in length. Their secondary structure includes four short double-helical elements and three loops (D, anti-codon, and T loops). RNAcentral also lists the same sequence under 1 other name. The record is from RNAcentral. Lineage: Bacteria; Candidatus Kaiseribacteriota.